RNAcentral lists this ribosomal RNA (253 nucleotides) under uncultured bacterium. RNAcentral describes it as "partial 16S ribosomal RNA". It matches the Rfam family "Bacterial small subunit ribosomal RNA", at positions 524 to 776 of the family's 1533-position model. The record is from RNAcentral.
UACGAGAGGUGCAAGCGUUGUUCGGAGUAAUUGGGCGUAAAGCGCACGUAGGUGGGCUUGUAAGUCGGAUGUGAAAUCCCUGGGCUUAACCUAGGAACUGCACCCGAAACUACAAGUCUUGAAUGCUUCAGAGGUUGGUAGAAUUCCUGGUGUAGGAGUGAAAUCCGUAGAUAUCAGGAGGAAUACCGGAGGCGAAGGCGGCCAACUGGGAAUGCAUUGACACUGAGGUGCGAAAGCGUGGGGAGCAAACAGG